GAGGAUGUAGCUGAUUGGUACAGUGUUGGCCUAACAUGCAGGAGGCCCUGGGUUCAAUCCCCAGCACCACA
This is a non-coding RNA of Ictidomys tridecemlineatus (thirteen-lined ground squirrel), 71 nucleotides long. The record is from Rfam. Lineage: Eukaryota; Metazoa; Chordata; Mammalia; Rodentia; Sciuridae.